UUGAAUAUAAAAGAGAUAUUUACGAUUAAGUUCUGCUCAUUCUUGUCCAGAGUGAAUUUUGAAAAAGCGAUCCAUAGUUUAGUAAGACGUAUUCACGUCAAUAAUAUCGAAGGCAAAUUCAAGAUGUUUUUUACUAUUUAAGACAACCAAACUCUAUUGAGUUUCCUCUUUGUUUCGAAUUUUACCCACACUAAAGCAUACUUGAAUAGAAAAAAAAUCUGUGCUUCUGGCAUUUCAUAGCUCGUAAACUUACGAGCUUACUGGUUUACUAAUCAGCCACACCGGUUGUGACGAAUUGAGCUAAAUCCAUGCGACGGAAGGCUGCAGUCGAUAAACGAUUCUAGCCACAUUCCAAACCGCUACCGGGACGCUCCUUGUUCGUAUAUUUGCUGUGCACUACUUUGACCAUAUCGAUCAUAUCAUUUCCGAUCAGAUCAGAUCAGAUCACCCAGGCCAUGAGUUCAGUCAAAGUUUCGUUCGUGAUUCUGCUGUUAAUAGUGCUGUUGACAGUGUCAUCGCCAUCGACAGAAGUGGAAACCUUCAAGCAGGACAUUGAUUGUGACGAUGUGGCUCGAUAUUACAAGACGCUAGCGAAGCACUUCGAAACCCAGUGCAAAAACAGAUGCCCCGCAGAAAUACAGACGGCAGUGAACUGGUUCAACCGCGCACACAAUCAAAUGGCGAAAAGUUGCUAUUACGAUAUGUAUGGGGAUGAUUAAAUUUAUGCUGGACGUAUGAAAUGUUCCUGACAUAAUUUUGAUGCUUUGAGAAAAUUAAACGAAACGAAUAAAAUAGAGCAUAUGUAGAUGUAGAUAACGGGUGACCGACAACAAUCGUAUCUCUCAGAAGCACAUUCAACUUUGUAGUUGUGUGCAGUGCUAUACUUUGAUGGCAAACUUCUGAGUGAUUCAUUUAUUCCAAUGCAAUAGGCAUCAUAUAUUGGCCCUUAUUACCGUUCUCACUUCCACCUUCACAUUCACUUCACGUACAUGUCACUUCACUUGAUUUUUCCUAUUACCAGUAUCACGGAUAGUGAAGUGAUCAUUGUGGUAGAAAAAACUAAUUUUUUUCAACAAAAUGUUGGUGGCGUGAUGUUCAUAAUGACAUCAAGUCUAUACAAGUAAUUACUUUUGUCUCUUAAGCGACUUCUAUAAUAUAAGGACCUACAUUCACUUCACUUGAUUUCCACCGUGAAGUGAUACCCAUAAUAAGGGUCACAGUCACUUCAUUUUGUUUUCACCGUGUAGUGACACCGGUAAUAAGGGCCAUUGUGUCAAAUUAUCAAUUGAUAAGUAAAUAAUUUCAAUGUUACAAAACUACUUUAUGUAAAAAAGUCAUUUUCGUCAAUUUUUGUCAAAUAGUGAAAUUAGGUAAAAUUUAGUGUCGGUAAAAUCUUUUUUCAAAAAUCUUCACACUUCGUAGAUGCGGUGUCGUGUUUUUUUCCUCCGUACCUGCACUUUAUAUGAAGGUUUGAAAUUUUUGACACUCAUAACCCUGGAACUUUGGAACCGGAAAUCGGAUUCAUUCGAAACUAAUUUUGCGAACAUAGGUCAAGCCAUCGCUGAGCAAAGUGAGUUCGAUAUUAGAGUUUGUAAACAAUAUUCCCGUUGUUAAUUUCGAGAGCUUUGUAUGGGGC
Molecule: long non-coding RNA, 1636 nt
Organism: Malaya genurostris
Lineage: Eukaryota; Metazoa; Arthropoda; Insecta; Diptera; Culicidae
Exons: 2
Source: RefSeq, a predicted model, not a curated record